ACACAUGCAGUCGAGCGGUAGAGAGAAGCUUGCUUCUCUUGAGAGCGGCGGACGGGUGAGUAAUGCCUAGGAAUCUGCCUGGUAGUGGGGGAUAACGCUCGGAAACGGACGCUAAUACCGCAUACGUCCUACGGGAGAAAGCAGGGGACCUUCGGGCCUUGCGCUAUCAGAUGAGCCUAGGUCGGAUUAGCUAGUUGGUGAGGUAAUGGCUCACCAAGGCGACGAUCCGUAACUGGUCUGAGAGGAUGAUCAGUCACACUGGAACUGAGACACGGUCCAGACUCCUACGGGAGGCAGCAGUGGGGAAUAUUGGACAAUGGGCGAAAGCCUGAUCCAGCCAUGCCGCGUGUGUGAAGAAGGUCUUCGGAUUGUAAAGCACUUUAAGUUGGGAGGAAGGGCAUUAACCUAAUACGUUAGUGUUUUGACGUUACCGACAGAAUAAGCACCGGCUAACUCUGUGCCAGCAGCCGCGGUAAUACAGAGGGUGCAAGCGUUAAUCGGAAUUACUGGGCGUAAAGCGCGCGUAGGUGGUUUGUUAAGUUGGAUGUGAAAUCCCCGGG
This 560-nucleotide ribosomal RNA is filed under the name Pseudomonas tolaasii. RNAcentral describes it as "bacterial SSU rRNA". It matches the Rfam family "Bacterial small subunit ribosomal RNA", at positions 51 to 607 of the family's 1533-position model. The record is from RNAcentral. Lineage: Bacteria; Pseudomonadati; Pseudomonadota; Gammaproteobacteria; Pseudomonadales; Pseudomonadaceae.